CUUUUUUUUAGAUUGUUAUCCUCAUCUCUUUUUUCAAUUUCGGAUUUUCACUUUCUUCUUCUUCUUUUUUCAAUCUAGGGAACAAAUUCCACUUUCAUCUUCUUUAUUUCACCCAAUUUUAAUCUGAAAAAAAUCAAUAUCAUCAGAUUCAGUUUCAGAUCUGUUUUCAUUGCAUUCAAUUGAAGAGAAAAUUGGUUCCGUAUAGAAGAAUCAAAAGAAAAAUUACAAAGUUAUUGUAGAACAAAGUCCUUUACCUGAAAAAAGAAAAAAAAGUUGUGCUCAUCUGUAAAGCAGCAGAAAUCUCUUACAUAGCUCCCACCGUAGCAUCUCGCAGUCCCCGGCCCUUGCGAUUUCUCUUAGGAGGGAAAGGACUUGAAGAAGCUGCAGAUUUGCGUUUGUUCAGACUAGUUGAUAUGUCCAUGUCAUCUCCUGGAGGCUGAAACUAGAGGAGAUGUCUCCUUGAGCAAUCAUCAAUGACACACAUUGGGGUCAACAGGAACUGUCUACUUGAGCAAACAUUGAUGACACAUUGGGAUCAAUGAGCAUCAAGCAGUUUCAGCACAUUCCACCCAAAGUAUUGGAAUCCUUGAAACGAAACAGUGAACUGUAGAAUUCUCAGCAGGCCUGGCGUGACGAAACAAAAUAGCAAAGUGUGACAGCGCAACAGGCCUGGCACGACGCGACUAAUGUAACCAUCAAUAACAAUGUUAACAAUAUAUGAAAAUUUGUUAUUUUAUAAAAUUGAACAUCGUAGUACCUAAAUAAGUUCUUAUUUUCCUUUUUAAACAACAAUAGUUGUAGUACUUUCUUUGGUUUUUUGAUAUCAACAAUUCUUUUACUGUA
Papaver somniferum (opium poppy) is the source of this 843-nucleotide long non-coding RNA. RefSeq lists it as uncharacterized. The transcript is spliced from 2 exons. The record is from RefSeq and is a predicted model, not a curated record. NCBI's taxonomy places the organism in Eukaryota, Viridiplantae, Streptophyta, Magnoliopsida, Ranunculales, Papaveraceae.